Molecule: unclassified non-coding RNA, 341 nt
Filed under: soil metagenome
Description: partial contains 5.8S ribosomal RNA, internal transcribed spacer 2, and large subunit ribosomal RNA
Rfam family: 5.8S ribosomal RNA (bases 1-120)
Source: RNAcentral
GAUGAAGAACGUAGCGAAAUGCGAUAAGUAGUGUGAAUUGCAGAAUUCAGUGAAUCAUCGAAUCUUUGAACGCACAUUGCGUCCUUUGGUAUUCCAAAGGGCAUGCCUGUUCGAGCGUCAUUUGUACCCUCAAGCUUUGCUUGGUGUUGGGCGUCUUGUCUCUAGCUUUGCUGGAGACUCGCCUUAAAGUAAUUGGCAGCCGGCCUACUGGUUUCGGAGCGCAGCACAAGUCGCACUCUCUAUCAGCAAAGGUCUAGCAUCCACUAAGCCUUUUUUUCAACUUUUGACCUCGGAUCAGGUAGGGAUACCCGCUGAACUUAAGCAUAUCAAUAAGCGGAGGA